This 249-nucleotide ribosomal RNA is filed under the name uncultured bacterium. RNAcentral describes it as "partial 16S ribosomal RNA". It matches the Rfam family "Bacterial small subunit ribosomal RNA", at positions 334 to 599 of the family's 1533-position model. The record is from RNAcentral.
UGCCCCUACGGGGCGCAGCAGUCGGGAAUAUUGCGCAAUGGAGGAAACUCUGACGCAGUGACGCCGCGUGCAGGAAGAAGGUUUUCGGAUUGUAAACUGCUUUAGACAGGGAAGAAACAAGACAGUACCUGUAGAAUAAGCUCCGGCUAACUACGUGCCAGCAGCCGCGGUAAUACGUAGGGGGCAAGCGUUAUCCGGAAUUACUGGGUGUAAAGGGAGCGUAGACGGCUGUGCAAGUCUGGAGUGAAA